RNAcentral lists this ribosomal RNA (465 nucleotides) under uncultured bacterium. RNAcentral's name for it is "partial 16S ribosomal RNA". It matches the Rfam family "Bacterial small subunit ribosomal RNA", at positions 28 to 507 of the family's 1533-position model. The record is from RNAcentral.
GACGAACGCUGGCGGCGUGCUUAACACAUGCAAGUCGAACGGAAAGGCCCUGCUUGCAGGGUACUCGAGUGGCGAACGGGUGAGUAACACGUGGGUGAUCUGCCCUUCACUUCGGGAUAAGCCUGGGAAACUGGGUCUAAUACCGGAUAGUAGCCAUUUUUAGUGUGAUGGUUGGAAAGUUUUUUCGGUGUAGGAUGAGCUCGCGGCCUAUCAGCUUGUUGGUGGGGUAAUGGCCUACCAAGGCGGCGACGGGUAGCCGGCCUGAGAGGGUGGACGGCCACAUUGGGACUGAGAUACGGCCCAGACUCCUACGGGAGGCAGCAGUGGGGAAUAUUGCACAAUGGGCGCAAGCCUGAUGCAGCGACGCCGCGUGGGGGAUGACGGCCUUCGGGUUGUAAACUCCUUUCGCUAGGGACGAAGCUUUUUGUGACGGUACCUAGAUAAGAAGCACCGGCUAACUACGUG